Molecule: unclassified non-coding RNA, 695 nt
Filed under: Hevea brasiliensis (rubber tree)
Lineage: Eukaryota; Viridiplantae; Streptophyta; Magnoliopsida; Malpighiales; Euphorbiaceae
Source: RNAcentral
AAAAUAUCAUACAUUAAAAUUACAAUUCUAUGCAACAAAAACCUUCCUUUCAUUAGAGAAAACCACAAAACAACAUAUUAAAUAAAUUUUAAAAAGAACUACAUUUGCCUAUUAGCAGCUUCAGUAACAAAAGGCAAAUAAGGAGUUUUUCCAAGUAUAGAAGAAACAAGCCCAUAAAUAAAACAGCCCACAACAAACACAAAAAGCCCAUUAUGCAUCCAAACCGUAAAUUUCAGCCCAAUACCCGAUUGACCCGGUGAAAAUAUCCUCUGAAUCAACAUCGGAAGCACCAGUAGAACGUCGAGCACCACCGCUUGCAGGGCGUUGAACCGGGGGUACUUGUUCAGAUUCUCGUUCCGAACAAUACCUAAGUAGAGUGCAAAGAAAGUGACAAAGCUAGCGUAUGGGAGGGACCGGUAGAGUGAUAGAAGAGGGAGAAUUGGUUGAAAUGGAAGAGCUAGGGUUGGGUAUUGAGCGAAGAGGAAACGGCCGUAUUGAAGGCCGUUGAAGAAGGGGAGAAAGUAAGCGACGGCGGAGAUAAGGCGGUCGGUGGCGGGGAUUGGGUUGUAAGAGGCGGAGAUGGAAGUGGUGGGUUUGGUAUGGAUACGGGUUCGGGUUUGAAUACGGGUUUGGAGUAAAUUGAGGCUGAGAGGGUGGGGGAGAAGACGAGGGGUAGUAGUGGGAGUGAAACGGAG